GAUGAAGAACGUAGCGAAAUGCGAUAAGUAAUGUGAAUUGCAGAAUUCAGUGAAUCAUCGAAUCUUUGAACGCACAUUGCGCCCGGCAGUACUCUGCCGGGCAUGCCUGUUCGAGCGUCAUUUCAACCCUCAAGCCCUGCUUGGUGUUGGGGCCCUACGGCUGCCGUAGGCCCCGAAAGGAAGUGGCGGGCUCGCUACAACUCCGAGCGUAGUAACUCAUUAACUCGCUUAGGGCGUUGGGCGGCGCUCCAGCCGUUAAAGAACCAUCUUUAACUCAAGGUUGACCUCGGAUCAGGUAGGAAUACCCGCUGAACUUAAGCAUAUCAAUAAGCGGAGGA
This 338-nucleotide unclassified non-coding RNA is filed under the name soil metagenome. Its description in RNAcentral is "partial contains 5.8S ribosomal RNA, internal transcribed spacer 2, and large subunit ribosomal RNA". The stretch from base 1 to 120 matches the Rfam family "5.8S ribosomal RNA", at positions 35 to 154 of the family's 154-position model. The record is from RNAcentral.